AGGACGAACGCUGGCGGCGUGCUUAACACAUGCAAGUCGAGCGGUAAGGCCUUUCGGGGUACACGAGCGGCGAACGGGUGAGUAACACGUGGGUGAUCUGCCCUGCACUUCGGGAUAAGCCUGGGAAACUGGGUCUAAUACCGGAUAUGACCUCCUAUCGCAUGGUGGGUGGUGGAAAGAUUUAUCGGUGCAGGAUGGGCCCGCGGCCUAUCAGCUUGUGGUGGGUAAUGGCCUACCAAGGCGACGACGGGUAGCCGACCUGAGAGGGUGACCGGCACACUGGGACUGAGACACGGCCCAGACUCCUACGGGAGGCAGCAGUGGGGAAUAUUGCACAAUGGGCGAAAGCCUGAUGCAGCGACGCGCGUGAGGAUGACGGUCCUUCGGGUUGUAAACCUCGUUU
This 403-nucleotide ribosomal RNA is filed under the name uncultured soil bacterium. RNAcentral describes it as "bacterial SSU rRNA". It matches the Rfam family "Bacterial small subunit ribosomal RNA", at positions 26 to 437 of the family's 1533-position model. The record is from RNAcentral.